RNAcentral lists this long non-coding RNA (1598 nucleotides) under Salmo salar (Atlantic salmon). RNAcentral's name for it is "lncRNA (ENSSSAG00000121278.1)". Lineage: Eukaryota; Metazoa; Chordata; Actinopteri; Salmoniformes; Salmonidae. The record is from RNAcentral.
GUCAUCACUUCAUUUUUUUGCGCCUGCGCAUAAAUCUGAGAAACGUGAGUUUUGUCUUCAUUGUUUAUCUCGACAUAGGAUAGGUUGUGUGAAAAUAUUACUGAUGUUUAACGUUAAAAAUGGACCAAAAGAUUAAUGCUAAACAACAUUUGACAUGUUUGAACGAACAUAAAUAGAUUAUUUACUAGUUUUUUUUUAGCUUUUCGGCGUGAAUUACACUCCCCCCACCACGUUUUGUGGGAGCAUAAUGAACGCUAAGUACUUGGUGUUAUUUGGACAUAAAUUAUGAACUUUGUCAAAAGAAACCACAUUUGUUCCGGACCUGGGAUGCCUUCCGGACCUGGGAUGCCUGCCUUCUGAUGGAGAUAAUCAAAGUGGGCAUUCUCCGUCCAUCACCACCCCCACAACAACCCCAGUCUGUCACAGAGGUCAGGGGUCAGUGGACAAGAUAGACAGCCAGGUCCCCGGAGGUGACUGAGGAGGAAGCUGAGCAGCUGGACCUCUGACCUGGCCAAGGUGGCCUGGCAUGACCAUGGCCGGUGGUGGCUGGUCCACUCCAGGAAGCUGAGGUGCGGGAGGUUCCUCCGCCCCCUCUAGACAUUGAGGGGGCCCCGGCGUAUGCUGUUCGAGCUAUCCUGGACUCGAGGCAUCGGGCGAGGGGCCUUCAGUACCUCGUGGAUUGGGAGGGGUACGGUCCAGAGGAUAAAUGCUGGGUGCCAGUGGAGGACGUCCUGGACCCUUCGUUGCUGCGGGAUUUCCACCGUCUCCAUCCGGAUCGCCCUGCGUCUCGUCCUCCGGGUCGUCCCCGAGGUCGGUGUCGGCAAGGGGGGUACUGUCACGACUUCCACCGAAGUCGGUCCCUCUCCUUGUUCGAGCGGCGUUCGGCGGUCGACGUCACCGGCCUUCUAGCCACCGCCAAUCCACUUUUCAUUUUCCAUUUGUUUUGUCUUUGUUUUACACACCUGAUUUCAGUCCCACAAUUACUUGUUAAUUAUUAAACCCUCGGUUCCCCCAUAGGUUUUUGUGAGUGAUUGUUUGUUGAAUUUUCGGCCUGUCAUGGUGUGCGUGUAUUUGUUACUUUGUAUAUUUGACAUUUUGAGUAAAAGUACGUUGAUUACUCAUAUCUGCAGUCCUGCGCCUGACUCUCUACACCAGCUACACCUAGGACCCAUUUUUCCUAUUCUGUUGCAUCACAACCUGUAAUUUAAAUAGAUUUUUAUUUGGACUUCAUGUAAUUGACAUACACAAAAUAGUCCAAAUUGGUGAAGUGAAAUGAAAAAAAUAUCUUGUUUCAAAAAAUUCCAAAACAUAUAAAACCGUAAAAGUGAUGCGUGCAUAUGUAUUCACCCCGUUUGCUAUGAAGCCCCUAAAUAAGAUCUGGUGCAACCAAUUACCUUCAGAAGUCACAUAAUUAGUUAGAAUGCACACAUGUGGACUUUAUUUAAGUGUCACAUGAUCUGUCACAUGAUCUCAGUCUAUAUACACACCUGUUCUGAAAGGCCCCAGAGUCUGGAACACCACUAAGCAAGGGACACCACUAAGCAAGCGGCACCAUGAAGACCAAGGAGCUCUCCAAACAGGUCAGGGACAAAGUUGUG